UACGAAGGGGGCGAGCGUUGUUCGGAGUUACUGGGCGUAAAGGGCGCGUAGGCGGCGCUCCAAGUUAGGCGUGAAAGCCCCGGGCUCAACCUGGGAAUUGCGCUUAAGACUGGAGUGCUCGAGUGCGGAAGAGGUGAGUGGAAUUCCCAGUGUAGAGGUGAAAUUCGUAGAUAUCGGGAGGAACAUCAGUGGCGAAGGCGGCUACCUGGCCCAAUACUGACACUCAGGUGCGACAGCGUGGGGAGCAAACAGG
This 253-nucleotide ribosomal RNA is filed under the name uncultured bacterium. RNAcentral's name for it is "partial 16S ribosomal RNA". It matches the Rfam family "Bacterial small subunit ribosomal RNA", at positions 524 to 776 of the family's 1533-position model. The record is from RNAcentral.